Balaenoptera ricei (Rice's whale) is the source of this 2421-nucleotide long non-coding RNA. RefSeq lists it as uncharacterized. Lineage: Eukaryota; Metazoa; Chordata; Mammalia; Artiodactyla; Balaenopteridae. The transcript is spliced from 4 exons. The record is from RefSeq and is a predicted model, not a curated record.
GCUGGAGGGCGGGUGCGGGUCCCCGCGUGUCACGCUCCAGCUCGAGAGGACAAGGAGGGCAAGAGUGAUCACUGACUCGCUGCCUUGGAUGGCGGAGCUUCCGUGUUGUUCCUUACGUGUGACAGCUAUUUCAUCUCAAGGUGAUCCCAUAAAGUGGAUACUGUUAUUAGCCCUAUUUUACAAUCUGCCCAAGAGGGGGUGAGGCCUGGAAGUGAGGCGGGCAGAGAUGGGACGUACAUCACAAAGUCUGGAGAGGGCGCCUCCAGAUGCGUCUUUGCAGGGCUUGCUGCCUCUUGAACCAUGAACUUUGUCUCAAAAGCCAUCUGGUUUCUCGUCUCGAAAACAUCCCACGACAGCUCUGAGUGCUACAAACCAGGCUGGGUCAUCUGCUGCUGCUGGCUUCCAGAUAUUGCUCCAAACGUUUCUGCAAGGCUGGUGACGUCCCAAGACACUGAGACUUUAGAUGCCCACUGCCCAAUAUUUGGUAGUGCUCACAAAAAAUGUCGAUGGAGAAAAAAGUAUGACUGCAACACGGGGCAGCAAAAGAUCUUCUCAUGCAGCAAAGUUCCUGUCUACCAACAUGAGUUGCAGUCUAAAGCCACAGUGAAUUUUGUGACAGUAACACUAACAAUCCAAUGGAGUAGAAACAUCCUAAUCUUCCUAUAAACAUACGGCACAUGGAGAACAGAAAUGAUUCUAGGAAUGACUUUGGCUUUUUUAAUUCUUCUUGAGGGAGAUAUAAAGAGCAUAGCAUCUUUGAAUUCUUGAGGCACUGUCACAAUACUCCAUGUGUUAUGGAAAAGCUGACACACAAAUGUGGGUCAUUAUUACUCUCCUUUUAAGAAUUGCAAGAGAGUGAGAGAGAGAGAGAGAAGCUGCAGCAACCCAGAUCGGAUGAUACGGUAACACCAAACAGAAGCAGAAACGAUCACAUACACACUCACUAUACACUGGACUCCUUACUCUGUACGUACCCUCUGUUCUUUGGUCCAGGUCCCUCAUGAGCUGGAAGUUUCUCUGCAGUUCAAAGGGGAGGUUUUCAAUACCUGGGGAGAAGAGGAGAAAUUGAGCCUCCCUGGACGUCCUAGGCCCUACAGCUGCGUUUAAAGAACAGGUCCAGAACAGCACUCAGUUUUCCCUCCUUCAAACCGCUGGAUUAUCUGUGACAGCACUCAUCAUUCCGCUCUCAGGAGAGGUCACGUCCGCCUCUUUCCACAACUAACCCCUCCAUCUCUGCACAGCUUUCCCACCCUUCCUGCCUUCAGUGACUUUACAAAUCAGCCGUUCCCUUUCCUUUCCUUUCAACCUCUGUCUCCAAGCUCCUUGCCCUCAGCUUGCAAAUACCCUCCUGGCAUCCUCCACCACUCAUCGCACACACAGUUCCAAUCUGCUCUCCAUACAAUAGCCAGAAUAUUCUUUAAAAAAUGCAGAUCUGAUCAAGUCACUAUCCUAUUUAUAACCCUCUAGUAACCUCCUACUGCAAUAGUCCUAUUCCGCACUUUCUGGCCCUUGCUUCCCUCACACCAGCCCUAACUCACGUCAGUCCCUGUCUGUGCUCUCUCUGCUCUAUCAUACCGGCCUCCUCUGAGUGCCUUGAACUUGCCGGUGCUCUUCACGACACUUGGCUUUUCACACGCUACUCUCUCUGCCCAGAAUGCCCUGCCCAGUCUUCUUCAUCCCACCUCCACCACACCUCUUGGCCUACAAAUUCCUGUUCAUUCUUCAAAGUUCAGCUCAACCCUGACUGCCCCAGACUCCAACAGGUGCCCUGGAUGAUGCUGUCAUGCUAUUUUUUUUUUUUAAAUAUGUAUUUAGCUGCACGGGGUCUUAGUUGCAGUACACGGGAUCUUUGUUGCCGCGUGCGGGACCUUUUAGUUGCGGCAUGUGGGAUCUUGUAUUUGCAGCGUGUGGGAUCUAGUUCCCUCCCUGACCAUGGAUCGAACCCGGGCCCCCUGCAUUGGGAGCGCGGAGUCUUAACCACUGGACCACCAGAGAAGUCCCUGUCGUGGUAUUCUAUGUCUACCCUUUUGGGCUCUUAUCCAAUGUACUUAAAUAAGUAAUUGUGUAAUUAGUUAUUCGGUAUGUCUCCCCAGCUCUCCAGAAGGGUUAGAUGUAUCUGUCUUCUUUCCUGUUUCUCUAGGACCCUCAAUAAAUACCUGAAUAAAUGCAUGAAUACUUAAGUCUCUCUCAUAAAAGAAAAAUCUCUUCGCGUGACUCCACUUCCAACUUUUAAAAUGCCUCCACUGCUUUAACCUAUAAACUCAGGUCCGCCACCACCAGUUUACUGAGAUUAAGUCCUCAAUGACUUACCAAAUCAAAUGAUCGGUUAUUAGUCCUAUCCUAAAAAAAAUUACGUUUGCAGCAUCUGGCACCAUCUUCUCGUCUUCGAAUAACUUCCUUCCUCUUAAGAUUCCAAAUCUC